UAAGCUGCUGAUGUUACCAG
This 20-nucleotide non-coding RNA is filed under the name Arabidopsis thaliana (thale cress). Lineage: Eukaryota; Viridiplantae; Streptophyta; Magnoliopsida; Brassicales; Brassicaceae. The record is from RNAcentral.